This 465-nucleotide ribosomal RNA is filed under the name Vreelandella stevensii. RNAcentral's name for it is "partial 16S ribosomal RNA". It matches the Rfam family "Bacterial small subunit ribosomal RNA", at positions 338 to 795 of the family's 1533-position model. The record is from RNAcentral. Lineage: Bacteria; Pseudomonadati; Pseudomonadota; Gammaproteobacteria; Oceanospirillales; Halomonadaceae.
CCUACGGGUGGCAGCAGUGGGGAAUAUUGGACAAUGGGGGCAACCCUGAUCCAGCCAUGCCGCGUGUGUGAAGAAGGCCCUCGGGUUGUAAAGCACUUUCAGUGAGGAAGAACGCCUGGUGGUUAAUACCCAUCAGGAAAGACAUCACUCACAGAAGAAGCACCGGCUAACUCCGUGCCAGCAGCCGCGGUAAUACGGAGGGUGCGAGCGUUAAUCGGAAUUACUGGGCGUAAAGCGCGCGUAGGUGGCUUGAUAAGCCGGUUGUGAAAGCCCCGGGCUCAACCUGGGAACGGCAUCCGGAACUGUCAAGCUAGAGUGCAGGAGAGGAAGGUAGAAUUCCCGGUGUAGCGGUGAAAUGCGUAGAGAUCAGGAGGAAUACCAGUGGCGAAGGCGGCCUUCUGGACUGACACUGACACUGAGGUGCGAAAGCGUGGGUAGCAAACAGGAUUAGAUACCCGUGUAGUC